AGAAUGGGAGCUUGCUCCUGAUGUUAGCCGGCGGACCGGGUGGAGGUAACACGUGGGUAACCUGCCUGUAAGACUGGGAAUAACUCCGGGAAACCGGGGCUAAUAACCGGAUGCUUGAAUUGAACCGGCAUGGUUCAAUUAUUAAAAGGUGGGCUUUCAGCUAUCACUUACAGAUGGACCGCGGCGCAUAGCUAGUUGGUGAGGUAACGGCUCACAAGGGCGACGAUGCGUAGCCGACUGAGAGGGUGAUCGGCCACACUGGGACUGAGACACGGCCCAGACUCAUACGGGAGGCAGCAGUAGGGAAUCUUCCGCAAUGGACGAAAGUCUGACGGAGCAACGCCGCGUGAGUGAUGAAGGUUUUCGGAUCGUAAAACUCUGUUGUUAGGGAAGAACAAGUACCGUUCGAAUAGGGCGGUACCUUGACGGUACCUAACCAGAAAGCCACGGCUAACUACGUGCCAGCAGCCGCGGUAAUACGUAGGUGGCAAGCGUUGUCCGGAAUUAUUGGGCGUAAAGCGCGCGCAGGCGGUUUCUUAAGUCUGAUGUGAAAGCCCCCGGCUCAACCGGGGAGGGUCAUUGGAAACUGGGGAACUUGAGUGCAGAAGAGGAGAGUGGAAUUCCACGUGUAGCGGUGAAAUGCGUAGAGAUGUGGAGGAACACCAGUGGCGAAGGCGACUCUCUGGUCUGUAACUGACGCUGAGGCGCGAAAGCGUGGGGAGCGAACAGGAUUAGAUACCCUGGUAGUCCACGCCGUAAACGAUGAGUGCUAAGUGUUAGAGGGUUUCCGCCCUUUAGUGCUGCAGCAAACGCAUUAAGCACUCCGCCUGGGGAGUACGGUCGCAAGACUGAAACUCAAAGGAAUUGACGGGGGCCCGCACAAGCGGUGGAGCAUGUGGUUUAAUUCGAAGCAACGCGAAGAACCUUACCAGGUCUUGACAUCCUCUGACAACCCUAGAGAUAGGGCUUCCCCUUCGGGGGCAGAGUGACAGGUGGUGCAUGGUUGUCGUCAGCUCGUGUCGUGAGAUGUUGGGUUAAGUCCCGCAACGAGCGCAACCCUUGAUCUUAGUUGCCAGCAUUCAGUUGGGCACUCUAAGGUGACUGCCGGUGACAAACCGGAGGAAGGUGGGGAUGACGUCAAAUCAUCAUGCCCCUUAUGACCUGGGCUACACACGUGCUACAAUGGGGCAGAACAAAGGGCAGCGAAGCCGCGAGGCUAAGCCAAUCCCACAAAUCUGUUCUCAGUUCGGAUCGCAGUCUGCAACUCGACUGCGUGAAGCUGGAAUCGCUAGUAAUCGCGGAUCAGCAUGCCGCGGUGAAUACGUUCCCGGGCCUUGUACACACCGCCCGUCACACCACGAGAGUUUGUAACACCCGAAGUCGGUGAGGUAACCCUUUUGGAGCCAGCCGCCGAGUGGGACAGAUGAUUGGGGUGAAGUCGUAACAGUAGCUGUCUAGUUUUUUUUCUCUCCGGGAACAGCUCUCCAUUCUUUUCCCCUUGAC
This 1503-nucleotide ribosomal RNA is filed under the name Bacillus swezeyi. RNAcentral's name for it is "bacterial SSU rRNA". It matches the Rfam family "Bacterial small subunit ribosomal RNA". The record is from RNAcentral. Lineage: Bacteria; Bacillati; Bacillota; Bacilli; Caryophanales; Bacillaceae.